UACAGAGGGGGCAAGCGUUGUUCGGAAUUACUGGGCGUAAAGCGUGCGCAGGCGGUUUUGUAAGCCAGAUGUGAAAUCCCCGGGCUUAACCUGGGAAUGGCAUUUGGGACUGCAAGGCUGGAGUGCGGCAGAGGAGACUGGAAUUCCUGGUGUAGCAGUGAAAUGCGUAGAUAUCAGGAGGAAUACCGAUGGCGAAGGCAGGUCUCUGGGCUAUAACUGACGCUCAUGCACGAAAGCGUGGGGAGCAAACAGG
Molecule: ribosomal RNA, 253 nt
Filed under: uncultured bacterium
Lineage: Bacteria
Description: partial 16S ribosomal RNA
Rfam family: Bacterial small subunit ribosomal RNA
Source: RNAcentral